RNAcentral lists this non-coding RNA (185 nucleotides) under bovine gut metagenome. The record is from RNAcentral.
GCGAUGGCCCCGGGUGAAAAGGGAACCGGGUGGGAAUCCCGGACAGACGGUGCUGCUGUGUGCCCCCCUUGAAAAUACCCUGCACCAGGCCACUGCGCAUUGGCCCGACAGCAUGGGACUGCGUGGGAAGGGCUGGUCGCAUGACUAUGGGGUAGGGGCGAGUCAGAAGACCUGCCAAGUCGUUA